UGAGGUAUAGCUUAGUGGCAGAGCACUUACCUAACAUGUGUGAGGUCCUGGGUUCAAUCUCUAGUAUUAUAA
Molecule: non-coding RNA, 72 nt
Organism: Ictidomys tridecemlineatus (thirteen-lined ground squirrel)
Lineage: Eukaryota; Metazoa; Chordata; Mammalia; Rodentia; Sciuridae
Source: Rfam